AUUGAAUGCUGGCGGCAGGCCUAACACAUGCAAGUCGAGCGGCAGCGGAAAGUAGCUUGCUACUUUGCCGGCGAGCGGCGGACGGGUGAGUAAUGUCUGGGAAACUGCCUGAUGGAGGGGGAUAACUACUGGAAACGGUAGCUAAUACCGCAUAACGUCGCAAGACCAGAGAGGGGGACCUUCGGGCCUCUUGCCAUCAGAUGUGCCCAGAUGGGAUUAGCUAGUGGGUGGGGUAAUGGCUCACCUAGGCGACGAUCCCUAGCUGGUCUGAGAGGAUGACAGGCAACACUGGAACUGAGACACGGUCCAGACUCCUACGGGAGGCAGCAGUGGGGAAUAUUGCACAAUGGGCGCAAGCCUGAUGCAGCCAUGCCGCGUGUAUGAAGAAGGCCUUCGGGUUGUAAAGUACUUUCAGCGGGGAGGAAGGUGUUGAGGUUAAUAACCUCAGCAAUUGACGUUACCCGCAGAAGAAGCACCGGCUAACUCCGUGCCAGCAGCCGCCGUAA
This 506-nucleotide ribosomal RNA is filed under the name uncultured bacterium. RNAcentral's name for it is "partial 16S ribosomal RNA". It matches the Rfam family "Bacterial small subunit ribosomal RNA", at positions 30 to 523 of the family's 1533-position model. The record is from RNAcentral.